UGUGUGGUAAGUUUUGGUUGUAAACUUAUGGUGUGCCAGCGAGGUAAGAUUACGGUGACUGUCUCACGAUUGUGCAAAACUUAUUAGGGUGCCAGCGACGAACCAUAACUGCCCCUGGAUUUACGUUUACCAUGAGGAGGAUGAGGCAAUGGCGACGGUGGCCGUGACGGGGCCGAGGCGCCGGCAAACCGUCGACUUCCGCAACCAGGACAGGGCCGAUUUACCGGACAGUCGUUCGCUCCUCCUCCAAGCGACCGCGAUCCUGCCGUUGGCCAUCCUGCAAGCGGCGUUGGCCUGGAGGUCGUCUUCAUCAGCCACACCAUCCAGGACUGGAGACACUGUUGUGAAGAUGUCAGCACCACCUGUCCCCAUCAAAUCCGUACAAGCUCGCCCCAUCUCCUCUCAGAUCUCGUCAGCCUCUCCAUUCUCGGUGCCUGAUCAAGCACCAAUGUGAUGUUGUUCAUUCCUUGUUGGAUACUCAUAGAUAUGCGUUGAGCUGAGCUCAAUUAAUAUUUUUAACAGGCGGAGUAUUGUUGCUUCGAGUGUGUCUCCGGUUCAAUGUCACAUGACACCAUCGCUCCGCCAGGCGAUCCGGUAUGAGGGAGCGCCAUGGGAGAACCUAGCCCGUAGCCUAACCAUGGCGGCGGCCGGCAGGGGAGCUUGUCCCGGCGAUCCAGCAUCCCGGCGUGGAGGCGCCUCCGGCGAGCACCCUGACCCACGUGAGAAGGCCACAGUGGAAGCGUCUUGUCUGGUCGAGCAGCCAUGGUUCUGAUUGUUCAUGUUGAUUUUGAGUUGGGGUAGCAGGGGAAUUCACACUGUAGUGGAGUGAAAUUCAGAAGGACAUAGCAGAGGAUGUCCUGGAAGAAUACCAAAAAGGUUGCGGCCGAGAGACAAUGUUGGGAACAUAGGAUGUCUGGAUGCUGAUGUAGAGGCUUCUCAUUCUGUUCAUUUGUGUUGUGUCGUUCCUUGCCAGAAUUCUAUACAUGUGUAUGGUAGCUAAUUCUGCUGGCUGAAUUUUAACCAUGUCUAUCCGCACAUGCUUUCUAUGUCGGAAGUGGCAUGUGAACUUCUGUGAGCAUAUUCCUUUUAAUUGGUUGAGAAAAUUGUACUUUGCGUUAAACUAGGUUUGUUUCUGAAUUUGACUCUAUUGAUGAGCUCCAUGAUCUAUCAUAAAGUGUUGCCAGAAGAUGCCUGUAAUCUUGGUAGAAAGAAUGGUAUCCUGAAGAUGCCUGUAAUCUUGGUAGAAAGAAUGGUAUCCUGAAGAUGCCUGUAAUCUUGGUAGAAAGAAUGGCAUCCUGAAUUUCUGA
Aegilops tauschii subsp. strangulata is the source of this 1307-nucleotide long non-coding RNA. RefSeq lists it as uncharacterized. The record is from RefSeq and is a predicted model, not a curated record. Lineage: Eukaryota; Viridiplantae; Streptophyta; Magnoliopsida; Poales; Poaceae.